GACCUAAAAUAAACUUAGUCGUAAAUAUCCCCGAAACCCGCUAAGUUAACUAGAAAUGUAUGGUUUAGUUAAUAAGAGGGAUUGUGGAUUUAAAAUAAGAAGGGUGUAACAUCCCGAAAAUACACAUUUUUAAAUUUGUAUUUAGUUACAAAUAAAAUUGGUAAAAUAAACUAACCAGGAUUGGCAUUAACCUAGUUAAAUGACAACUUAUGAGUAGUUAAAAUGUUAAAACAAAAGAAAAAUGAAACUUGAGGGACUAAAGUUGUGUAAGUGAAAACUAGUAAUAAUAAAACAAAAAAAAAUUAAAGCACAACACUUGUUUGUGUUGUUGGGUUCGAUCAGAAGGCAGGGGGCGACUUCAAGCUCCCCAAAACCCUAGUUCACAUCAAAAACCACCAAUUGAAGGAUCAAAUCGAGUCCAAAACGAAAAUCGAGCAUAUUCGUGAUCCCCAUUGAAAGGAGAUCAUAAGUUUGUCGCCUAACGAGCUAGGUGGAGGCUUGGAAAAGAAGCGGUCAAACGAAUCAAGCACGAGAAGAAAACGUAUUCGGAUGCGAGGUAAGUAGAGCUUACGCCCCUUUACAUUAUUUGCAAAGUUACUUAAUUUCAAGUAAUGAUAUGAAUGCUACUAAGUGGUUGGUAUAUGAUAUUCCGACGCGAUUCAAUGAGAGUUGGAAUGAGGGGAAAAUGGUAAAUUAGUCAUGUAAUGACGAAUAAUUAAAAACGGUUUUAAGUAAAACAAGUUCAAAGAAAACCGGGAUAGGUAAAAGGGGUGAAAUGGUAAUUAAAUACCAUCUCAACACGGACAAAUGGUCAAUUAGACUAAAUGGGUCAAAUGGUGUGGAUAACACCAUUUGGCAAUAACAUUUGACGAUCGCUUGUUGAGUUUUGUGAUUUCAGGAAAUAACAUGUGUUGCGUUGCUUUAAUUAGAAAAUUUAAAGCAGGAAGUAUGUAAACGGGUCAAUACUAUGAUCCGAGCCAGGUACGCAUACGUGAAUUUAUAGUUAAAAGUGCAAGAAGGUCUAACAUCUAGCCGAAAUCCUUCAUUUCAAAAUGAAGGACUAAAUGUGACCAAAGAGCCCUUAAUAGGUAAACAAUGUAAACAACCCUUAGAGGUUGCUUAGAAACUUAUAUUAUGAGUUUGAAACCCUUAGAUGUGUAUAAAAGUUCUAGGCAAAAACAAUUGCGGGUCGAACGCCUAGAAAUAGUUAAUUGCGGAAAAUGACCAACCAAUAGGUAAAAUUGGGAAAAAGGGGUUCAUAUGUUAAAUCCACCACAAAAUAGUUGUGGUGGAAUAUUUCUAGUUAAUUAGACAUGGAAAAUAUUGUAGUAUCAAAAGAAAAGCACAAGUUCUAGACCAAAAUGCGUAAAUACCCAUAACGGGUCAAAAUAGAAGUAUUAGCGAAACGAGUUAAGAAUGUGUAAUAACCCGUGAUUUGAACCUUGUACAAUAGGAAAUAAUCAUAAUAUUAUGUUUACGAAAGAAACAAGGGCCACAAUCAAGUUUGUUAGAUGAAUUCAUGAACGGGUCAAAAUUUGGUAAAAAUGGUAAUAAGCCGAAGACUUAAAAGUCUUAAAUUUUUGUUAAUCCGGAUGUCGGAUUUUAACUGCAUAUGAUGGAGAAUUAAAUUAUGGACGCGUAGGAAAAAGAAUCGUGUAAAACGGAUUAAAAACGAGAGAGUUAUGUCCGUUUCGGUAAGAACUAAUGAAAAAUAGACGUGCAGAGUUGACACGGGCGGGUGACUUUUUGACACGGCCGGGUGGCUGGGCUGUGAAAAAUAUAUGUUAACUGACACGGGCGGGUGACUUUUUGACACGGCCGGGUGAAGGGGCUGAAAACAAAACAAAAAUAAUUUCUUGUUUUGUUACGUUAAGCACGGAACUUGUUUAUACUCGAUUAUUAAAGUGUCAAAACUAAUUAUUUACAUGGUUUUGACCGUAGGUGAAGAUGGGAUAAGCGGUUGAAAGAUACGAAAGUUUUCGUGCAAAUAAACGGCAAAAUAGGAAAGCUGGAAUGCAGGGACCACCGUAACUUACGGUGCCACCGUAAGUUACGGUGGAGCUGAAGGCUUUACGGCAGCCCCCUACUGAUUUACGGUAGGGGCAUGUCACACCAGGGGCCACCGUAACUUACGGUGCCACCGUAAGUUACGGUGGAGGCCAGUUGGAAAUCCAUGUUUUGAGAUCAAAAGUUUAACGUUCUUUUUGGAUGCCGAAAGACGAUCAAGCUCAUCGAAGGACCGAACACGAUAAAGAUACAUGCUUCCGCACAUUUCCUCGUCGUAAAUUUUUAAACGACAAACUCGAUCACUUAUGUUGAAUAACUUAUGAUUUGUAAAAGUUUUAAUAAACUCGUAUUUUCAUAGUAUGUGUAAACUUAAUUACA
Helianthus annuus (common sunflower) is the source of this 2385-nucleotide long non-coding RNA. RefSeq lists it as uncharacterized. The transcript is spliced from 3 exons. The record is from RefSeq and is a predicted model, not a curated record. Lineage: Eukaryota; Viridiplantae; Streptophyta; Magnoliopsida; Asterales; Asteraceae.